UCCCAACGUGGGAAUCUUGUAAAAACCCAAUUACAAAUUAGGGUUUUAACUCAUCUUCUAGGGUUUUAUCAAUCAAGCAAUGAGCUAUUGAGCCUUACCAUAACGGGGAAGAAAAAGCUCAAUUAGAGAAUAAUACUCGAAGCUUCUUCUUCUUCUGAGCAAAAGCAUCAAUUUUUGCUUAUGGGUAAGAAACUUGGAUUUUCUCAUUCUCAUUCUAGUUGUUUUUAAUCCAGCUAUUUCAAUUACAGUUCUUGCUUAGCAUUUCAAAUAUCCCACAUUGAUUCUGCUGAAAUUUAAUGUUUAGCUCAUUAAAUUUCACGUCUUGCCAUGAUAUUACUCAGAAUCCGCAAAAGGGUAUUUGAAUUAUCUAAGAUGAUUGGUCAAUCCAAUCAGAUUGUUCCCUUUUCUUCUGUGUUCAAUGAAAAAUGUGUUGUAAUGCAGUACCCAUCUUUCAGUUCAGUUAAAUUUCGAACCUUUUGCAGUUCUAGAGUGACACAUUUAGCAAAAGUCAGUCUCACUGAGUCAACUCAGUCACCUGGUUCUUUGAUUUCCAACCAAGUUUCUAGGCUGGCUAGAACCGAGGCUCAAGAUGUGUUAUUUGAUUACUUGCAUGGUACUAGGAGCUUAAGCUAUACGGAUGCAGAGCAUAUCAGCAAGAAUUCGCCAUAUUUUAUUCAAAGUUUGUUAUCCAAGAUUGAUGCCGAGAAGGAUGUGACUCGGUCUUUAGCCAGGUUCCUUAGAUACAAUCCAAUUAAUGAGUUUGAACCAUUUUUCGAGAGCUUGGGUUUGAGCCCAUUGGAGAUCUCCUUACUUCUUCCGCAGCACUUGAUGUAUUUGAGUGAUGAUGAUAUCUUGCUUGAGAACUAUCAUGUGUUGUGGGUAUAUGGGAUUCCUCGUAAUAAGAUGGGAAAGAUGUAUAAGGAAGCGAGAGAGAUAUUUGGGUAUGAUUAUGGAAUAUUAAGUUCAAAACUUCAGGCUUAUGAAAAUUUGGGUCUAAGUAGAAACACGGUUAUUAAGCUAGUCAGUUGUUGCCCAUCGCUUUUGAUUGGUGAUGUUGAUGAUCAAUUUAUUAAGGUUCUUGAAAAAUUAAAAGGGCUAGGAUUCAAGAAUGACUGGAUUGGGGGAUACUUAUCUGGUAAGAGCACAUACAAUUGGAAUCGAACAGUUGACACAAUGGAAUUUCUUGAGAAAGUGGGUUAUAGGGAGGAGCAGCUUUGUGAUCUAUUUAAAACAAAUCCAGGGUUAGUCUUUGAGGGUUCUGGGCGGAAGGUUUAUUUGUUGGUUGGCCAGUUACUCAAAUUGGGUUUGAAGAUGAAUGAAAUCUAUUGUUUGUUUAUGCAAAAGCCACAACUGUUGUCUGGAAAAUGUACAAAGAAUCUAUUGCAGGCUGUGGGAUUCUUGGUUGAGAUUGGAAUGAGAAUGGAAAACAUUGCAAAUAUAGUGUCUAAGCAUGCGGAACUUAUGGGUUCAUGUUCUCUUAAAGGACCUAAAACUGUUUGCAGCAGUUUAAAAGUCAACAGAGAUGGUUUAUGUCAAAUUAUAAAAGAUGACCCGUUGAAAUUGUUCCAUUUGGCUUCUAAAACAAAAAUUAAAAUUUAUGAACAGGCGGAACUCCAAAAUCCUAGUAAACAUCUGGAGAAAACAACAUUCUUGUUGAGAUUGGGGUAUGUAGAAAACUCAGAAGAGAUGACGAAAGCUUUGAAAAAGUUCCGAGGAAGAGGGGACCAACUACAGGAGAGAUUCGACUGCCUGGUAGAAGCCGGUUUGGACACAAAUAUUGUCAGACGCAUAAUUAAACAUGCGCCAAUGGUGCUUAACCAGAGCAAAGAAGUGAUUGAAAAGAAGAUGGAUUUCUUAAAGAACUGUUUAGGGUUUCCAAUCGACUCUGUAGUGGCAUUUCCAUCAUAUUUAUGUUAUGAUUUGGAGAGGAUUAAUCAUAGAUUUACAAUGUAUGUGUCGCUGAGGGAGAGAGGUGCAGCGAAGCCCAAAUUGUCCUUAAGCACUAUACUUGCAUGUUCAGAUGCAAAAUUUGUAAAAUAUUUUGUAGAUGUCCACCCUGAAGGUCCAGCCAUCUGGGAAAGUAUAAGGAAAUCGUCAAAUUCAAGCUAAGGUGAAGUCUAUACUUCAUUUAUAUACUUUUUUUCAUAAAUCAAAUUGAGUCCACUUGGACAAUAUAAUUCUGCAUUGCUAACCAUAUAUUGUUGCACAUCUAUGUAAACUCUGAUAUGAUUGUUGCACCUCAUCUUCUCAAAUACUUGCUACGAAAUCUUGCAUGGUUGGGUCGUUCAGCAUGCAGUUUGGACUUUGGACAAUUUAAAAACAAUAUCAAGUUCAUGUAUCUGGAUGGCAGUAACAGGCUAAUAGCAGCAUUCAACGGAAUAUUAGAAAUUUCUGUGUGAAAUAUUAGAAGUGGAGAUUGAGAGGGUUGCUACAACAGGCAGUAAAUAUAUUUGGGAGCACGCCGACGGAUUAUCGGAUCUUUAAACAGGAACUAUUUUUUGGAUGAAAUAUAGAUUUAAAAGAAUAAUUCGAUUACCUGCCUCAUAUUUCAGUUUUAUUACAAAUACUCAAAUGGAAUACCUUUUGGCUUAGCUCUGCUGAUACUUAACAAGAUCUUCAGCUCUGUAUUUCCCCUUAAUUCAAGUUUAUAAUGUUUGAUUUGGUUCAUUUUUAAUUUCA
This is an RNA transcript of Pistacia vera, 2679 nucleotides long. It is a transcript of the gene named transcription termination factor MTEF18, mitochondrial-like, with no coding region annotated. The record is from RefSeq and is a predicted model, not a curated record. The transcript is spliced from 3 exons. Lineage: Eukaryota; Viridiplantae; Streptophyta; Magnoliopsida; Sapindales; Anacardiaceae.